This 912-nucleotide ribosomal RNA is filed under the name uncultured archaeon. Its description in RNAcentral is "bacterial SSU rRNA". It matches the Rfam family "Archaeal small subunit ribosomal RNA", at positions 1 to 923 of the family's 1478-position model. The record is from RNAcentral.
UUCCGGUUGAUCCCGCCGGACCUGACUGCUAUCGGAUUGAUACUAAGCCAUGCGAGUCAUUGUAGCAAUACAAGGCAGACGGCUCAGUAACACGUAGUCAAUCUACCCUAUUGACGGGGAUAACCUCGGGAAACUGAGAAUAAUACCCGAUAGGCCAUUAUGCCUGGAAUGGUUUAUGGCUGAAAUGAUUUAUCGCAAUAGGAUGGGACUGCGGCCUAUCAGUUUGUUGGUGAGGUAAUGGCCCACCAAGACUAUUACAGGUACGGGCUCUGAGAGGAGAAGCCCGGAGAUGGGUACUGAGACACGGACCCAGGCCCUAUGGGGCGCAGCAGGCGAGAAAACUUUGCAAUGUGCGAAAGCACGACAAGGUUAAUCCGAGUGUUUCCUGCUAAAGGAAUCUUUUGUCAGUCCUAAAAACACUGAUGAAUAAGGGGUGGGCAAGUUCUGGUGUCAGCCGCCGCGGUAAAACCAGCACCUCAAGUGGUCAGGAGGAUUAUUGGGCCUAAAGCAUCCGUAGCCGGCCGCACAAGUCUUCGGUUAAAUUCAUAUGCUCAACAUAUGGGCUGCCGGAGAUACUGUGCAGCUAGGGAGUGGGAGAGGUGGACGGUACUCGAUAGGAAGGGGUAAAAUCCUUUGAUCUAUUGAUGACCACCUGUGGCGAAGGCGGUCCACUAGAACACGUCCGACGGUGAGGGAUGAAAGCUGGGGGAGCAAACCGGAUUAGAUACCCGGGUAGUCCCAGCUGUAAACAAUGCAAACUCAGUGAUGCAUUGGCUUGUGGCCAGUGCAGUGCCGCAGGAAGCCGUUAAGUUUGCCGCCUGGGAAGUACGUACGCAAGUAUGAAACUUAAAGGAAUUGGCGGGGGAGCACCACAAGGGUGAAGCCUGCGGUUCAUUGGAGUCAACGCCGGGA